CAAAGCACAGGACGCAGGUAGACCACUGCAGCAAAAACCGCGUCCGCGUACAAUAGCGAGCGUCCAACUCCAACCCACCACCGCUUCCCCCGUUCCCCACCCCGACCGACUGCUCCUCCUCCCCCGCGCCAUCCUCAAGGCAUCGCCGGCGCCGCAACUUCGCCGAGGAGGAAGCCCGCACCCCAGCCCCGAUCCGAUGGCCAACAGCAACCUCCCGCGGCGGAUCAUCAAGGAGACGCAGCGGCUGCUCAGCGAGCCAGCACCGGAGAUCGG
Molecule: long non-coding RNA, 273 nt
Organism: Sorghum bicolor (sorghum)
Lineage: Eukaryota; Viridiplantae; Streptophyta; Magnoliopsida; Poales; Poaceae
Exons: 4
Source: RefSeq, a predicted model, not a curated record